This is a long non-coding RNA of Hermetia illucens (black soldier fly), 852 nucleotides long. RefSeq lists it as uncharacterized. NCBI's taxonomy places the organism in Eukaryota, Metazoa, Arthropoda, Insecta, Diptera, Stratiomyidae. The record is from RefSeq and is a predicted model, not a curated record. The transcript has 3 exons.
AAGCGAAAACAGCUAUUGUUAGUUAUUAUUAGCGAGAACAGCUAUUAUUAAUAAUUACUAACUAAAAUUAAAACUAAAUUGUGAUUGUCGGUGAUUCUUAUAGCUGUGUUGUAAGGGACAAGUUCCUGCGGGAUGCAGUUGUAGUAUAGCGAUCCAAUAGAUCAAUCACCCAUAUAGAGAGUGAAUAGCUUUCUCGAGGUACUUUGCCCGAGUAAAGUUGAGCGGUGGCUUUGCCAACAGCCAAGAUUUGCCACAUUCUUUGCUAUUAAGGUUGAUUAAAACCACUUGCAUUAUGUUUAACGUGAAAAUCAAGAGAAAUUCACGAUGUCAGCAACAAACAACACCCUCACAUCCGGCAAUAUAACUACGUGGAAGCACUAAAUAGAUUACCGAUAUCGAAUAUUGUAAUCAUGUAAUCAAAUAAUGAUUCCAUUGCCGAUUAACAAGUCCAACUAUGUACAACCUUCUUCUUUUACAAAGCCUAGCUGAGAUGUUGGCGGUAGAUAAGGGUUGGCCAUGUGGAACGUAGCGCGUCUUAUUGCUUGGUUUUCGUUUUUAUAUAAUAAAGGAUUAAUAAUUGAGAAAAUUAACAUGCAUCUCCUCAGGUGCAAAAACCUCGUAUCAGAAGUAACUUUUUGAACCGUAAAAUAAAGAUAUGAAUUGAGAUGCAACAACCUGAUUGAAGUUUAUUUAAAAAUUGUCCCAAAAUGCGUUUGUAAGUACGUAGUUAACAAUGUUUAUCCGUUAUGGCAACAAUAAAAACAUCCGCGUCUGCACCAUACCUAUGAAAAUAUUUACUACUAUGGGUAUUGCUCAUUUAUUUGUUCUGAAAAUUCGGAUCAAUAUUAUUAU